RNAcentral lists this ribosomal RNA (253 nucleotides) under uncultured bacterium. RNAcentral's name for it is "partial 16S ribosomal RNA". It matches the Rfam family "Bacterial small subunit ribosomal RNA", at positions 524 to 776 of the family's 1533-position model. The record is from RNAcentral.
UACGAAGGGGGCUAGCGUUGUUCGGAAUUACUGGGCGUAAAGCGUGCGCAGGCGGCUUCUCAAGUCAGGGGUGAAAGCCCAGAGCUCAACUCUGGAAUUGCCUUUGAGACUGAGUGGCUUGAGUACGGGAGAGGUGAGUGGAAUUCCCAGUGUAGAGGUGAAAUUCGUAGAUAUUGGGAAGAACACCGGUGGCGAAGGCGGCUCACUGGCCCGCAACUGACGCUCAUGCACGACAGCGUGGGGAUCAAACAGG